UAAACAUGGAGGAUCUGGAAUAAGGUCACUCAAGGAGACAGCGUGUGUCCAAGAAGUGAAUGAAAUCCAGUCCUCCAGCCUGCGGCUCAGAUCCAUUCCCUAGACUCCCAUCCAGCCCCUCACUCCCUCGGGAUUCGAUGAGCUUCUGACUGGUGCAGCAUCAGCAUUGCCAAGAAGAAUAAGGCUUAGUCCCUGUCCUCAAGGAGUGUCCAGUGUAGUAGGAAAGGCAGCAACACCUAUCAAUCAUGUAUGUCUAGGAGAAGGUGACCUGAAUGAAGAUAAAAAAUAACCCAGGAGGAAUAGUUGAGAUACUGGAGAAGAGAAAUCCUGUUAGAGGAGAGUCUGGCAAUCUUCAACCGUUGCAGGAUUAUCAGGAAUGGCCACCAUGGUGUAGAAAUAAAAACCAGCAUCUAGAAGUUGGAAGAGCCUUAUUUUCAAGGACUUGGAAAGCUGUGUGGAGCUUCUGCAUGGCGCCGGUUGCUUAUGGUCAUGACUGUAGCUGCUGGCAUUGCUCCAGCAUGAACUCUGAUUCCAUUGCGAAGGGGAAGGGAUCCUUCUUAACAGCCCCUAGAGUGGAUCUGACAAGCUAUGGUGCUGCCUGUAAACCAAAACAGACACAAUUCAUUCGUCCAGAAAAUAUUUGUGGGGCAUCUUCCUUGUGCCAGGCCCCCUCAUAGAGCCUGCAGCCUGUUCAUUUUGAGGUACAAGGAGAACUGCCCCAAAGUGCCAAGGAAUCAGGAUGGUUUUAAUGUUUUCUCCAGAAGACAGGGAAAGGGCUAGAUGGCUUGAGGCGGUCCCAUCCAGCGCUAGGAGUCAUGACCUCUUAAGUUCACCCCAACAAAACCUGCCCGUGCACUUUUGCACUGGUUCCAUAUUGGCUGAGGAAGGUUGGGCUAGAUCCGUAGGAUCUCCAAGCAGAAAGGCUUCCCCAUUCCAGAUGCUGGAAAGAGAGCCAGGCCAGGGAA
Long non-coding RNA from Balaenoptera acutorostrata (minke whale), 965 nucleotides. RefSeq lists it as uncharacterized. Lineage: Eukaryota; Metazoa; Chordata; Mammalia; Artiodactyla; Balaenopteridae. The record is from RefSeq and is a predicted model, not a curated record. The transcript has 4 exons.